AGCAGUCGCCACGGUAAAACGUAGGUGGCAAGCGUUGUCCGGAAUUAUUGGGCGUAAAGGGCUCGCAGGCGGUUUCUUAAGUCUGAUGUGAAAGCCCCCGGCUCAACCGGGGAGGGUCAUUGGAAACUGGGAAACUUGAGUGCAGAAGAGGAGAGUGGAAUUCCACGUGUAGCGGUGAAAUGCGUAGAGAUGUGGAGGAACACCAGUGGCGAAGGCGACUCUCUGGUCUGUAACUGACGCUGAGGAGCGAAAGCGUGGGGAGCGAACAGGAUUAGAUACCCGGGUAGUCCCUGUCUCUUAUAC
Molecule: ribosomal RNA, 303 nt
Filed under: uncultured bacterium
Lineage: Bacteria
Description: partial 16S ribosomal RNA
Rfam family: Bacterial small subunit ribosomal RNA
Source: RNAcentral